Molecule: long non-coding RNA, 254 nt
Filed under: Phoenix dactylifera (date palm)
Lineage: Eukaryota; Viridiplantae; Streptophyta; Magnoliopsida; Arecales; Arecaceae
Description: long non-coding RNA (PDAC_LNC004538)
Source: RNAcentral
CCACCCCCAUCGCUUGAGAUGAUCCAAGAGAUAAGUCCCUCCCUCUCUCUCAUGCUUGGGUUUGGGUUAGGGUUUCCUUGCCUUUCCCCUUCCUCCCUCCCUCUCCCUCCUCCUCCUCUUCCUCUCUCUCUCUCUCUCUCUCUCUCAUGCUCGCUCGCUCGAGUUAGGUUUAGGCUUCCUUUGGCCCUCCCCCUUCCUUGCUCACUCCCUCUCCCUUCCCUCCCUCUCUCUCUUUCUUUCUUCUUUUUUCCCUC